GUGUGUGUCUGUGUGUGUGUGACUGUGUGUGUGUGUGUGUGUGUGUGUGUGUGUGUGUGUGUGUGUGUGUGUGUGUGUGUGUGUGUGUGUGUGUGUCUGUCUGUGUGUGUGUGUGUGUGUGUGUGUGUGUGUGUGUGUGUGUGUGUGUGUGUGUGUGUGUGUGUGUGUGUUGUGUUUCUUUUCUUAUCUCCAUCAAAGAAGAGGCAGCAUUUUUGUUUCAAACUGGCGGAAUAAGAAGGCCGUUCGUCCUAAGACAUCUGAGUGGAUACGGGGGCAGAUUUGACAGUAUCCUGGUCGGGCAUUGUGCUGGGCAGUCGUGUCCCAAGAGGUCGUAGGUGCCAGGGCCCAUGAAGUCUGAAGAAGGGUCUCAACCCGAAACGUCACCCAUUCCUUCUCUCCAGAGAUGCUGCCUGGGUGAGUUACUCCAGCAUUUUGUGCCUGUCUUUAGUUGGCAAAUACUGUGGCUAAUGUUUGUGGAAGCCACUAGGCUAAAGUAUGGGGCAAAGUCAUUAAACUGGGAGGGAAGAGAUGAAUAUUAGCUCGGGUAAGCAUAGCUUUAAGGUGAGAGGGGGGGGGUCCGUUUAGCUGAGAUGUGUGGGGCUAGAUUGGAUUUUUACCCAAGGGUGGUGGGUUUACUAUAGAUCAGUUUAUUGUCACGUGUACCGAGGUACAGUGAAAAGCUCAUGUUGCGCGCUAACCAGUCAGUGGAAAGACAAUACUUGAUUACAAUCGAGCCAUUCACAGUGUACAGAUACAUGAUAUGGGAAUAACGUUUAGUGCAAGGUGUCGUCCGAUCAAAGAAAAAGUCCGAGGGUCACCAAUGAGGUAGAUAGUAGUUCAGGACCGCUCUCUGGUUGUUGGUAGGAUGGUUCAGUUGCCUGAUAACAGCUGGGAAGAAACUGUCCCUGAAUCUGGAGGUGCGUGCGUUUUAACACUUCUGGACCUUUUCCCCGAUGGGAGAGGGGAGAAGAGGGAGUGGCCGGGGGGGGGGUGAGACUGGCCCUUGAUGAUGCUGCUGGCCUUGCCGAGGCAGCGUGAGGUGUAGAUGGAGUCAAUGGAAGGGAGGUUGGUUUGUACGAUGGUCUGGGCUGCGUCCACACUGCCUGGUGCUCGGAAACCCGCUGUCAGGGGUGGUGGUGGAGGCAGAUACCAUGGUAUAGGCGCAUGGAUACGCGGGGAAUGGAGGGAUGGGGGUUAGAUGCAGACAGGACGGCGGCCAAAGCUGGCGCCUCACGUACAUGUAGGAACUGCAGAUGCUGGUUUACACCGAAGAUAGACACAAAAUGCAUGGAGUAACUCAGCGGGACGGGCAGCAUCUCUGGAGGGAAGGAAUGGGUGACGUUUCGGGGUCGAGACGCCUUCUUCGGACCGAGAGUCGGGGGAGAGGGAGACACAGAGAUAAGGAAGGGUAAGGUGUGAAAACGAGACAUCAAAAGAGAUGGGGAUCGACGAAACUGUAGAUUAGAUCAUUGUUCGCUUGUAGAAGGUGACAACAAAGCAAACAGAGAUAACAUCUAAUCUGGGAACUGGUUUAGAGAAUUCUUGUGUAUGCUAUGGGCUAUUUCUAGAAUAGAAUAGAAUAGAAUAGAAUUACGUUUAUUGUCAUUCAAACCUUACUCUUUGUACUUAUAAACAUAGAAACUAGGUGCAGGAGGAUGCCAUUCGGCCCUUCGAGCCAGCACCGCCAUUCAUUGUGAUUAUGGCUGAUCAUCCCCUAUCAAUAACCCGUCCUUGCCUUCUCCCCAUAUCCCUUGACUCCACUAGCCCCUAGAUCUCUAUCUAACUCCCUCUUAAAUCCAUCCAGUGACUUGGCCUCCACUGCCCUCUGUGGCAGGGAAUUCCACAAAUUCACAACUCUCUGGGUGAAAAAGUAAAUGUCCUCCCCUUAUAUUCUAAGACUCUGGUGUGGCCCCUGGUUCUGGACUCGCCCAACAUUGGGAACAUUUUUCCUGCGUCUAGCUUGUCCGGUCCUUUUAUAAUUUUAUAUGUUUCUAUAAGAUCCCCCCACUCAUCCUUCUAAACUCCAGUGAAUACAAGCCUAGUCUUUUCAAUCUUUCCUCAUAUGACAGUCCCGCCAUCCCAGGGGUCAAUCUCGUGAACCUACGCUGCACUGCCUCAAUCACAAGGAUGUACUUCUUCAAAUUAGGGGACCAAAACUGUACACAAUACUCCAGAUGUGGUCGCACCCGAGCCCUAUACAACUGCAGAAGAACCUCUUUACUCCUAUACUGAAAUUCUCUUGUUAUGAAGAGGAGUUCCUCUUGUAACGUCGAGCUAGCUCAGGUACUUUCUCUGCGGUCGUUUUCACCUGAGAAUUUUCUAUUUUCUCGUAGUAAUGUGGAGAAAACGCACCAGCCACUCGCCUCGUGGUCCAGGAGGGGAGGAUGUUGUGGUGGUCGCUAGGUGACCACGGUCCAUCGACCAGCCCCAUCCCAGUUGUCCAACCAAAGCCACCAGCAAUACAUUGGCUCCAGUGACAAAGCCAGUUAGGACACUACAGCCCGAAUGGAAGGUUUCUCCACCUUCCUGCGUCACGAAGGCGCCACUGACAAGACCAUCCAUCCAAGAUGGCGGCGGUCUGGCUGUUUGCUUCUAGAAACUGUGCCGCUGGGGGAGGGAGUCUGAGGCCUGUGUUCAUUCUGUUGCACGGACUGGAAACGAGACCUGGCAGAAGGGUAAAGAACUCCAGGCCCUUCAAACACUGAGCGCCUCCUGUACCCGAGGGAAUCUCCGCGGGUGAGCUGGCCGACCUCGAGGCGGGAGGAAGAGGAUCCAGCAGCAAGAGGAGACGGGCCUCUGGCGCCGACGACCCACGGGUUUGCGACGACACAGAGCCCUGACAUUGCCCAGUGUUGGGUUUAACAGGGAACCAGAGAUAAGUACCUGCAUGAGGGUACAAUGUACAAACGGGCAGGUCUGAAGUUCGAGUAUCUUCCCCUUGCCUUAAAAUUCCCUUGCUGGGCCGCACGGUGGCGCAGCGGUAGAGUUGCUGCCUCACAGCGCCAGAGACCCAAAUUCGAUCCCGACCAGGGGUGCUGUCUGUAUGGAGUUUGUACGUUCUCCCCGUGACUGCGUGGGUUUUCUCCGGGUGCUCCGGUUUCCUCCCACACUCCAAAGACGUGCAGGUUUGUCGGCUAAUUGGCUAAUUGUGCAUGUAGGAUGGUGUAAGUACGCGUGGAUCGCUGGUCAGUGUGGACUCGGUGUGCGGAUGAACUUGCUUCCUCGCUGUAUCUCUAAACUAAACUAAACUUCAAAUUCACCAUUUACUCCACUCCAUUCACAGACUAGGAUGUACAUCUUCCCUCUGCCACCCGAGUCAUGGCUGUGGUUUCAUUCACAUCCUGCUGAGUUUCAUUGUCUGUACAACUCAUUAUCACCUAGCCCACAGCCAGCAAUGGACCAUUGUGGGCUCCACUAUUCCCUGAUCAGCCAUUACUUUUUGCAUAUCUUCCAUUCAUUCGUUCUAUAUCUCUCCAUAAUCGCAAUCUAUAUAUCUCUUGUUAACCUUUCCCCUGACUCUGUCUGAAGAAGGAUCUCAACCCUCAACGUCACCUAUUCCUUUUCUCCGAAGAUGCCGCCUGACCCGCUGAGUUACUCCAGCAUUUUUUGUCUGUCUGAUUGCAUGAAUUUGAAUAGGGGCAGACAAAAUGCGCAGGAAGGAACUGCAGAUGCUGGUUUACACCAAAGGUAGACUCAAUUCUGGAGUAACUCAGCGGGACAGGCAGCAUCUUGGGAUAAAAGGAAUGGGCGACGUUUUGGCUCGAGGUCCACGUCUUCAGACUCAUCGUCUGCAGAAGGGCGGCACGGUGGCGCAGCGGUAGAGUUGCUGCCUUACGGCGCCAGAGGCCCGGGUUUGAUCCAUACCACGGGUGCUGUCUGUACGGAGUUUGUAAUUUUUUCCCAUGACCUGCGUGGGUUUUCUCCGGGCGUUCUGGUUUCCUCCCACACUCCAAAGACGUGAAGGUUUGUAGGUUAAUUGACUUGGUAAAAUUGUCAAUUGUCCCGAAUGUGUGUAGUGUGCGGGGAUCGCUGGUCAGCGCGGACACGGUGGGCCGAAGGGCCUGUUUCCGCACUGUAUCUCUAAAGCCCAAAGCCGCAAGUUAAACUUGAAUUUGGUCAAUUUAACAAAUGGUCGGGAGCUCUUCGGAGUUGAAAUUGUAAUUGAAUUAGAUUAAUAUUUUACUAAUCAGAUUUAACCACCAACUAACGCAUGUACUAACAGUGCAAGAUCUUGGUACGGGUGCCUUCUUAACACUGACUAAUCACUAACGUCAUGUCAUUGCUUUGAAUGAUGGCAGGAUUCUCGAUUACACUGGGGCUGUCACUGAUGCAGCAACUCUACCGCUGUGCCACCGUGCCGCGCCGCGCCGAUAUGGCCCGUAUUGAACCUAUCCCACAGCCCCACUGAAAACAUCGUCCGAGCAAAUACCUGCGUCCCCCUCCCUCUCUCCACCUUUUCGCCCCCAAGUUGAAGGCUGGAGUUUGGGGAAGAUUACACACUGAAAGGGGCCUGUCCCACUUGGGCGACCUCUACCGCCAGUUCUGGCGAGUUUGCCCUCGACUCGUACUCGCUGCAUGGUCGCCACGAGGUGGUAGGAGGUCUUCGUAACUCUCCUUCAUGCUCGAGAGUGGUCUCCGCGUACUCGAGGCCUCAGCUAGGUCGCGGCGUUUUUGUCAAAAUGUUCAAAAAAUGCCCGCGAGUAAAAAAAGGUCGCCAUGGAAAAAAAUCGAUACUUUUUUACUCGUAGGUUUAGUCGUAGUAGGUCGGCAUGUUAGUCGUAGGUAAUCGAGGGUAGUCGAAGCUAGUCGUAGAUAGUCAU
Long non-coding RNA from Leucoraja erinaceus (little skate), 4820 nucleotides. RefSeq lists it as uncharacterized. Lineage: Eukaryota; Metazoa; Chordata; Chondrichthyes; Rajiformes; Rajidae. The transcript has 6 exons. The record is from RefSeq and is a predicted model, not a curated record.